AUUGAACGCUGGCGGCAUGCUUUACACAUGCAAGUCGAACGGUAACAGGCCUUCGGGUGCUGACGAGUGGCGAACGGGUGAGUAAUGCAUCGGAACGUACCCAGAGGUGGGGGAUAACGCAGCGAAAGCUGUGCUAAUACCGCAUGUGAUCUGAGGAUGAAAGCGGGGGACCGAGCAGCAAUGUUUGGCCUCGCGCCUUUGGAGCGGCCGAUGUCGGAUUAGCUAGUUGGUGGGGUAAAGGCCUACCAAGGCGACGAUCCGUAGCUGGUCUGAGAGGACGAUCAGCCACACUGGGACUGAGACACGGCCCAGACUCCUACGGGAGGCAGCAGUGGGGAAUUUUGGACAAUGGGCGCAAGCCUGAUCCAGUAAUGCCGCGUGCGGGAAGAAGGCCUUCGGGUUGUAAACCGCUUUUGGCAGGAACGAAACGGUGUCCGCUAAUACCGGGCGCUAAUGACGGUACCUGCAGAAUAAGCACCGGCUAACUACGUG
RNAcentral lists this ribosomal RNA (492 nucleotides) under uncultured bacterium. RNAcentral describes it as "partial 16S ribosomal RNA". It matches the Rfam family "Bacterial small subunit ribosomal RNA", at positions 30 to 507 of the family's 1533-position model. The record is from RNAcentral.